UGCAGAAUAUGCCCUAUUUAAAAAAUAAAUAAAGGAUUUCUCCAGAUUCCUCCAUUUCCUGGUGGCCUCCUAGUUACCAUGCCAGAGGGUCAGCCAUUCACCAGUUCCUUUGGCUGGUUUCCAGUAAAAUUCUUACCUCCCUUACUGCCUUACAGCCUACGAUCCUCUGCAGCCUUGAAAAUUAUGAUCCCCUCAUUGGAUCUAUCAUUUGUGCUGCUUGUAACAAAAACUUUACAAAAAUAGAGAUAAAAUAUAAAAAUGUAUAAUAAAUCUGGUCUUUAAACCCUGUUCGAAGCACAGAUCUCCCAAAAAGCCUGAGUGAUGGUAUGUUCUUUUGUUAUUCAUAAGAAGUCCCUUUUGAG
Molecule: long non-coding RNA, 362 nt
Filed under: Bos taurus (domestic cattle)
Lineage: Eukaryota; Metazoa; Chordata; Mammalia; Artiodactyla; Bovidae
Description: long non-coding RNA NONBTAT026649
Source: RNAcentral